Molecule: ribosomal RNA, 470 nt
Filed under: uncultured bacterium
Lineage: Bacteria
Description: partial 16S ribosomal RNA
Rfam family: Bacterial small subunit ribosomal RNA
Source: RNAcentral
GACGAACGCUGGCGGCGUGCUUAACACAUGCAAGUCGAGCGGAAAGGCCCUUCGGGGUACUCGAGCGGCGAACGGGUGAGUAACACGUGAGUAAUCUGCCCUUGGCUUUGGGAUAACUACCGGAAACGGUGGCUAAUACCGGAUACGACAACCGUCUGCAUGGGCUGGUUGUGGAAAGUUUUUUCGGCCAGGGAUGUGCUCGCGGCCUAUCAGCUUGUUGGUGGGGUAAUGGCCUACCAAGGCUUCGACGGGUAGCCGGCCUGAGGGGGUGACCGGCCACCCGGGGAAUGAGACCCGGCCCAGCCCCCUACGGGAGGCAGCGGGGGGGAAUAUUGGAAAAGGGGGGGAAGCCUGACCCAGCACCGCCGGGGGGGGGAGGACGGGCUUGGGGUUUUAACCCUCUUCCAGUACCGACAAAGCCCCGAUGAUGGGGGUGAGGGUAGGAACAAAAGAACCACCGGCCAACUACG